GAGGGUGCAUGUGCAGGUUCCUGAAAUAAGUUAAGCACGAGGUGAGGUGUGGGUCCUUGUGCCGUUGGAAGCACAAGACUGAAUCAUGUGGUCAGUGGAGGUUAAUCUGAAGGAAGGUUAGUGUUUGUGCUUUAUUGUCUUUGUUUUUAUAGUUGGGAAACUGCAAUAUUCAUUGGUGGUCCCUCAUUGAUGUAUGUUUUGGUCUGCGUUGUUGAGG
Molecule: long non-coding RNA, 217 nt
Filed under: Vigna radiata
Lineage: Eukaryota; Viridiplantae; Streptophyta; Magnoliopsida; Fabales; Fabaceae
Description: long non-coding RNA (VRAD_LNC007801)
Source: RNAcentral